GUUUUUUUUAACUCGCAUAUACUAAAAUUGGAACGAUACACAGAAGAUUAGCAUGGAUGACACGCGAAAUCGUGAAGCAUUACAAAUUUUU
This 91-nucleotide small nuclear RNA is filed under the name Trichobilharzia regenti. Lineage: Eukaryota; Metazoa; Platyhelminthes; Trematoda; Strigeidida; Schistosomatidae. The record is from RNAcentral.